This 618-nucleotide ribosomal RNA is filed under the name uncultured bacterium. Its description in RNAcentral is "bacterial SSU rRNA". It matches the Rfam family "Bacterial small subunit ribosomal RNA", at positions 338 to 949 of the family's 1533-position model. The record is from RNAcentral.
CCUACGGGAGGCAGCAGUGGGGAAUUUUGGACAAUGGGCGAAAGCCUGAUCCAGCAAUGCCGCGUGAGUGAAGAAGGCCUUCGGGUUGUAAAGCUCUUUUGUCAGGGAAGAAACGGUGAGAGCUAAUAUCUCUUGCUAAUGACGGUACCUGAAGAAUAAGCACCGGCUAACUACGUGCCAGCAGCCGCGGUAAUACGUAGGGUGCAAGCGUUAAUCGGAAUUACUGGGCGUAAAGCGUGCGCAGGCGGUUUUGUAAGUCUGAUGUGAAAUCCCCGGGCUCAACCUGGGAAUUGCAUUGGAGACUGCAAGGCUAGAAUCUGGCAGAGGGGGGUAGAAUUCCACGUGUAGCAGUGAAAUGCGUAGAUAUGUGGAGGAACACCGAUGGCGAAGGCAGCCCCCUGGGUCAAGAUUGACGCUCAUGCACGAAAGCGUGGGGAGCAAACAGGAUUAGAUACCCUGGUAGUCCACGCCCUAAACGAUGUCUACUAGUUGUCGGGUCUUAAUUGACUUGGUAACGCAGCUAACGCGUGAAGUGACCGCCUGGGGAGUACGGUCGCAAGNUUAAAACGUCAAAGAUAGUACGGAGAGAGAGAGCGACGAGACGACGAGGAGGAGGAG